RNAcentral lists this ribosomal RNA (253 nucleotides) under uncultured bacterium. Its description in RNAcentral is "partial 16S ribosomal RNA". It matches the Rfam family "Bacterial small subunit ribosomal RNA", at positions 524 to 776 of the family's 1533-position model. The record is from RNAcentral.
UACGAAGGGGGCAAGCGAUGUUCGGAUUUACUGGGCGUAAAGGGCGCGUAGGCGGAUCUGCAAGUCAGAGGUGCAAGCCCUGGGCUCAACCCGGGAAUGGCCUUUGAGACUGCAAGUCUUGAGUGCGAGAGAGGGUGGCGGAAUACCCAGUGUAGAGGUGAAAGUCGUAGAUAUUGGGUAGAACACCGGUGGCGAAGGCGGCCACCUGGCUCGCAACUGACGCUGAGGCGCGAAAGCGUGGGGAGCAAACAGG